GACACCCCAACCCCUUUUAUACUCUAUCGCAGCACGUUCUUUUUAUCUCUCUUUCGGAUUCCUCCCAGGCUAGCUUCUUUGAUUAAUCUUCAUCUUACUCCGAUCGUGUUUUCACAUUUCAUGUUGAAGUUCCCUGUGUCACCAGCUAAUAGCUACGCAUGUAGGUGCUUGGUUCAGGAAUUACUGGUGAAAGAUCCAAAGAAGAGGUUAGGGACAAAGAGAGGAGCAAUGGAGAUAAAGCAGCAUUCCUUCAAAAUGAACUGGGCAUUGAUAAAGCGUAGUAUUCCUCCUGAAGUACCGGGACAAAUGGAGACCGAACCGCCUCCAAAGCAUGGACCGAUGGAUCCAGUUGGGUACGGUAGUAAUAGCAAGAGAAUGAUGGGACCACCACUAGUAUCAGCAGAUACAAAAUCUGGUGGUAAAUUUCUAGACUGAGUUUUUCUGAAGCUUUCUUUUUCCUCCCAAGAGUUUGUAUUUGAAUUAGCAUUUUAGUCUCCUUGUCUCCCUCCCUAUGUAUAUUGUUGUAGCAAUGUCUCAAGAGGCUUGAAUAGACCAGGAGUGGAGGAGGUUUAGUUCUCAUAGUAACUUAGGAGGUCCUUUUUGUUUGUAUCUGAGAUUAAGGACAUGGAAAGCUCUUUUGGUAGGUAGGUCACUGCCAUGCAUGUUUUGGUGGUCCCAAAUGCAAAAGAUAUUAUGAUCUAAAACGAAUCAUUCAUCGCAUACAUGUUAUGCUAUUUAAAUCCCAAAACUAUAGUUUAUUUAGCAGUUUGCCAGCAAAAUGUAUAUUAUAUCUUAUAUCAUCUCGGUGUUUUCGUUAAAAGAGUCGGCAUGAUCUUUGCUCAAUAUUAGAUUACAAAUUGAGCCAUGAUUAACCACGACUGUUUUUGUUACCUCUAAUCUACCAAGAAGAAACCACCAUGUGCUUCAGGCAAAGAAGAGAAAUGAUGUUUCACAGGGAAUCCGAUGACAAAACAGACCCACCUUUGAUACAUUUACAACACAGACCUGUUUCAUCCACACACAUAAAGAUACAGUUCGAGGCAAGCCCUAGAUUAUUAUUUAACAGUAUAUAAUAUCACACGACUAAUGAACAAGCAAGAGAACGUUGUUUAUUCUUGUCCUGGAAUUUCUUUAGAACAUGUAGCUGAGAAUUACAUGAACAAACAAAAACAUCCACAUUUCAUACAUAGAAAUCAAAACGCCAAGUCCUAGAAC
This is a long non-coding RNA of Raphanus sativus (radish), 1215 nucleotides long. RefSeq lists it as uncharacterized. The transcript is spliced from 2 exons. Lineage: Eukaryota; Viridiplantae; Streptophyta; Magnoliopsida; Brassicales; Brassicaceae. The record is from RefSeq and is a predicted model, not a curated record.